AAGUUGCAAGAAAAAGUUUCAUUCUUUGAUUGAAAUCAGAGUUGUCUCUUUAAUUUCUCAAGUAUUUCAAAGAAGUCCAUUUUUGUAUCUUUGCUGUAGAAUGCACUUUGAUGGAAGAGUUGGCUUUUGAUUUUUAAAAAAAUGGUUCAAAUUAAUAGUUAUUUCUAUUUUGCAUCAAAUGGAUACAUUUUGUAUUUUACCCAAGUCUUCUCAGCCCACAUACUCUAUCAACAUUCUUUUAUAUAUUUUUUUCUAAUGCUGUUUCUGAUGGGUUAUUAUCUGAGAGUGGGUUGGUAGAGAUUCAAUUUAAUAGUUUCUUAACUCCAAAAAUAAUUUCUUUUCAAACUAAAAGAAAGUCCUACUUUGGUUGCUUUUAAGUUUGUUAUAUCAAGAUAUGCUUUUUCAACCCCUAGUUUUUUUAACCAAUAAUUAUCAACCUAGCUAAUUCUAUCACUAAUUUAUGAUUCUGAAAGGAAGAAAAUAAAAAAUGAAACAUCAAGACUGAGGGACAAAAGAUCAAGAGCUUAAUGGAAAAAAAUGUUUGCUGCCCAGCAGGGAACCCAAUUCAGCACUGAGUUCAGGCUCUGAGUUUCAGGGGAAGAGACCUAGGGUAGGUCCUUUAAAGCCAAACUGUCUCUGUCUCCUUUUAGGAAAACAACAUCUACAAUAGUUGCAGACUAGCUUCCAGUAUCUGGAUUUGUCAGUUGGGUAAAUGCUGGGUUGGUGGGUAGGUGGCUUCUGUUUCAAAGGUGUAGCACUCACCUAAGGACUGUGGUGUCCACCUGCCUCUACUGCAUGUGAGGUGGCCCAUUCAGGAUCCUGGCUCAAGUCAGAACUGUACCACUGUCAGUAAGUGGGUCCCAGGUAAUGGUUGAUCAGCUGUCUUAGAUGUUGGUUACUCUGAUGUAAAAGAAGAACAAUAUGUGGUCCAACAUAUUUUAAUGUUAUUGUUCACAUGAGGACCAUCCUUGGACCUAAUACUGCAGCAGCUAUUGUUAAAACUUUUUGUUCUUACCACAUGUCUCUGCCCAUCAGUUGCUCUGUCUAUUCGAGAGUGUUAAAUCCUGUUGGUAAGCCAAUAAAGAAAUACGUUAGUCACCACAUAGGUAAAAAGUUAGAAAUAGCCAAAACUGGAUCUGAUACUACGAUAGAGUAGAAUGGCAUCAAAGGAGAAUUUAACCAAAAAAAAAUUAAAAAAAAAAAUCAAGUAAGUGCCUUUGUAAAGAGGAGAGAGAAAGAAUUGCUUCAUUUAACUCCUUGCCUUCCACCAAGAAACUGCUUCACUUCCCUCUUCAAACUAGACUUGGCAUGACUGCCAGGCUCACUCUGAUCAAUCUUUUAUUCCCUUUUGAGGAAAAAAUAAAUUUUUAGCUUCUGAGCUUCUAACACCUAGCUUUUGGGUAUUUAAGGGCAAUUUAAGAAAUUCUUCAAAGAAAUGUUUUUAUCCUAAGAGCAAUUUUCCUGUUACCUGCUAGAAGCAAUAUUUGUAUUAAAUGCAACUGCCAGUUUUCAACGUUAAAAUGUCAUUUUUGAAGGUCCUUUCAUUGGUAUGAAUUUUCAAAAACAUUUCUAUUCCACCUUUUAAGGAAAUGUUUACAUGUUAAUUAAUGUUCAGUGGUAAUUUUAAUUGGGUUUCCCUUCAGGAAAUUUUUUUUUAAGAUUUUAUUUAUUUAUUUGAGAGAGAGAGAGAGAGAGCAUAAGUGGGGGAAAGGAAGAAGCAGGCUGCCCGCUGAGCAGAGAGCCCAACUCCAUCCCAGGACCCUGGGAUCAUGACCUAAGCUGAAGGUAGACCCUUACCCAACUGAGCCACCCAGGCGCCCCAUCCCUUUAGGAAAUUUCAAGAAAGGCUUAAACAUUUUGAUAUAUAAAGUGAUGCAGAAGGGACUGUAAGAAAAAAUACUGAAAGCAAAUUUCAAAAAGUAGAUUAAUGAGAAAGCAGGAAAAUAAGAGUUUGCAAAAAGAAGAUUUAGAAAAUGUAUCAAAAAAAAAAGUCAAGGGCGCCUGGGUGGCUCAGUUGGUUAAGCAACUGCCUUCGGCUCAGGUCAUGAUCCUGGAGUCUCAGGAUCGAGUCCCGCAUCGGACUCCCUGGUCGGCAGGGAGUCUGCUUCUCCUCUGCCCCUCCCCCUUCUCAUGUGCUCUCUCUCAUUCUCUCUCUCUCUCAAAUAAAUAAAUAAAAUCUUAAAAAAAAAAAAGUCAAAAUGCAGGAGAGAGGUCAGAAUUGGUGAUUGAUAAUCAAGACCAGCAAUAUUUCCUACUUCCACUGCCUCACUUUCCUUCAGCUUAGAUCUAAAGUGAUUCUGCUGAUCAGGAUUAAAACCAGAGAUGAAUGAGGACGACAAUGCAGACUCAGAGAAAUAGCUUAGGGAGCUAAGGAAAGUGAAAUGUAUGACCAGUUACAGAAGGUUACAGAAUUAUGUGGCAGAUUUCUCAAAAUUAGACUUUAUUAUUCUAAAAUAAGAUCCAAGUACAGUGGGCAUAAAUUGAGGUUAGGCAUCUUUUUUAUGGGAACUUCCUAAUUCUAUCCUUUGUAUAAUUUUGUUGUUGUUGGGAUAUGCAUCAUUAUUUACUUACUUAUUGAUUUAUAAAGACUUUUGUCUAUUAAGGAAUUAAACCUUUGUCUUUCAUACUAUUUAUGUAAAGCAGACUUAAAUGUUUAUCUUAGAAUCCUAACAAAAAGGGGGAAAUAGGGGUACAACUCAAGAUUCUAUUAUAAAAGAGAAAGACCUUAUUGUUAACAAUAGAAGCUUGUUUCCAGUUUCUGCAAUCUUCUGUUUUCUUCAUUAAGAAUAAACUUUAAACCGAGUUUUUUCUUGCAACUCUGUGAAGUUUGGAAUUAAAACAAUUAAUUAAAUGGAUUUAAAAUUAAAGAAAAUUUUGUUCUUAAUUGAAAAUCAAUUGGCUUUGGAUAGAUCAGAAACUAAAUGGUAAUGGGAUACAAUCAAAGUAAAUUUAGAUGAUAAAACUUGUGUCUUCCCUUUCAGUUGGAUAAAGAAAACAUUAAGUGAAGGUAUGCAUGGAAAAUACUAUGUGGUUAUAAAAUACCAACAGUGAAGUCUUAAAUUAAACUACAACUGAAACCAUGUAUUUUCAGAAGCACACUUCAUAGCUUCUCUCCUUGUCUGUAUCGCUUCAUUAAAUCAGCACAAAAAAACUUCAAAAUACCAUGGGAAGUAAUUUAAUAAGAAUUACUUAAUGUUCCUGAUCCAAUUUUUCUGCAGGUAGCUAAUAAAAAGGUGAAUGUGAGAGCAUUCAAGAUUUUAUCCAGUUCCAUGGUUUUAAGUACCAUCUAUAAACUGAGUUCUCCCAACUCUCCAUUUUCAACCUUGACAUCUCCACUGAAAUCCAGCCACAUAUACAACUGAAUUGUUGCAAGUUACCAACAAGCCCAUAUAUUAAUUUAUCACUAUAGAUAAAACCAUGUAUUUGACACAUCAUUAAUUAGGUAUCCUUAUCCGUCUUUUUUCUUCACAUCCCACAUCCAAUCCAUUAGCAAAUCUUGUGUUUGUCUCUCCUAAACAUAGUUUUAGGUCUGAUUGUUUCUCACCAUUGGCUCACUACUGAAGCCCUAGUCCAUAUCGCCAUCCUCAUCCUUCUGCCUUACCUACUCCCACUCUUGCUUCUCUAUAGUCUGUUCCCCACAUAACUCCUUAGUAAUUGUCUUAAAGCUUACAUCAGAUCAGAUCACUUUCUAACAUCAAACUAUUUAAUGGCUUCCUUUAUCAACAGUAGUAAAUUCAAACUCAAAACUUUUUGCCAUAAGCUCACCUCCCCAAUGUCAUUUCCUAUUAUUACUCCAGCCUCCAUGGUGGCCUUUUUCCUGCCUUGGGGCUUUUGCAUUUCCUGUUCUCCCUAGCAUACUUUCCCCACACUUUCAUAUGCCUCAGUUCAGCUUAAAUGUCACCUCCUUACUCCUAGUAACUCUUUUGGCCCCCUUUAUUUUCUACAUAGCACUUAUUAUCUGAAAUUAUAUUACUAAUUAUGAGUUCAUUGCCUGUUUCUCCCUAAGAGAAAGAAAGCAGGAAGGGCAGGUACCUGGGUGGCUCAGUUGGUUGGGUGACUGCCUUCAGCUCGGGUCAUGAUCCCGGAGUCCUGGAAUCGGGUCCUGCAUCGGGCUCCCUGCUCAGCGGGGAGUCUGCUUCUCCCUCUGACCCUCUCCCCUCUCAUGUGCUCUCUCUCUCUCUGUCAUUCUCUCUCUCAAAUAAAUAAAUAAAAUCUUAAAAAAAAAAAAGAAAGCAGGAAGAGCCCAUGAUGAUCAUAUAGUUCAACUUCCUUGCAUAGUGUAAGAAGAAACUGAAGCCCACAGAAGCUAGAUGUUUUGCCAGUGUACUUCCAGUUAGUUAGGGGUGAAGCCAGAAAGGAAAAUGAAUUCUUCUGAGACAACAGUAGAGCAGAAUUCUUCCUGUUCUAUUUCUCUAAGUUGCACUUCAUCAAUGUUUGUUUAAUCCAAUUAUCCUUCCUUCCUCAAGAUAUCCAGUGGAGGGGAGAGAGCUCAACCUUCUCACCACAGACCUGCAGUUUUACCUACCAUAGCUUUAUAAUUGAGCUCUUGUUUGUUUAGGUGCCUUUAUGGAUGGCAGGUGGAAAUGCCCAGGGGAAGUUCUAAUGUACCUCAGUUGAAGCUGGCUCCUAUUUGGGCAAGUUAUGAGAGAUCUGAGAGCCUACAGCAGUUUUCAAGGCUGGGAAUCCCAAAGGUGAAAGUGCUGUCUUUAUAAUUGAGAAGCUCACGUAAACCCCAAGGGUCAACACAAUUAACUGCCUUUAAACCAAGGAACUCUCAAGCCAUUAAUGCCAGUAAUGAGAAUGAAAAGCCCAUACCUGUGUUGGGAAAACUGGACAGCAACAUGCAGAAGAAUGAAACUGGACCACUUUCUUACACCAUACACAAAAAUAAACUCAAAAUGGAUGGAAGACCUAAAUGUGAGCCAGGAAUCCAUCAAAAUCCUAGAGAACACACCUCUUUGACCUCUGCUAUAGCAGCUUCUUACUAGACACAUCUCCAGAGGCAAGGGAAACAAAAGCAAAAAUGAACUAUUGGGACUACAUCAAGAUAAAAAUCUUCUGCACAGCAAAGGAAACAAUCAGCAACACGAAAAGCAACUUAUGGAAUGGGAGAAGAUUUUUGCAGAUGACAUAUCUGAUAAAGGGUUAGUAUCCAAAAUCUAUAAAGAACUCAAACUCAACACUCAAAAAACAAAUAAUCCAAUUAAGAAAUGGGCAGAAGACAUGAACAGACAUUUAUCCAAAGAAAACAUCCAGAUGCUCAAUAUCACUCAUCAUCAGGGAAAUGCAAAUCAAAACCACAAUGAGUUAUCACAUCACACCUGUCAGAAUGGCUAAAAUUAACAACUCAGGAAACACCAGAUGUUGGCAAAGAUAUAGAGAAAGGGAAACCUCUUACACUGUUGGAGGGAAUGCAAACUGGUGCAGCCACUCUGGAAAACAGUAUGAAGGUUCCUCAAAAAGUUAAAGUUAGAACUACGACCCAGCAAUUGCACUACUAGGUAUUUACCCAAAGGAUACAAAAAUACAGAUUUGAAGGGGCACAUGCACCCCGAUGUUUAUAGAAGCAUUAUCAACAAUAGCCAUACUAUGGAAAGAGCCCAAAUUCCAUUGGCUGAUGAAUGGUUAAAGACUAUAGGAAUAAUACUCAGCCAUAUUACUCAGCCACCAAAAAGAAUGAAAUCUUGCCAUUUGCAAAAACAUGGAUGAAAUUAGAGUACAUUAUGCUAAGCGAAAUUAGUCAGAGAAAGACAAAUACCAUGUGAUAUCACUCAUAUGUGGAAUUUAAGAGACAAAACAAAUGAAUACCGGGGAAGAGAAGGAAAAAAUCAAAUAAGAUAAAAACAGAGAGGGAGACAAACCAUAAGAGGCUCUUAACUAUAGAGAACAACCUGAGGGUUGAUGGAGGGGAGGAAGAUGGGGGGAUGGGCUAAAUGCGUGAUGGGCAUUAAGGAGGGCACUUGUUAGGAUGAGCGCUGGGUGUUAUAUAUAGGUGAUGAAACACUAAAUUCUACUCCUGAAACCAAAACUACAUUAUAUAUGAAUCAACUUGAAUUCAAAUAAAAAAAUACCUUGCUGUAAUGGCAAAAAGACCUAAUAUCUACAUAAAAAUAAACUUCUUACUGUAUUAUAACAUUUUACCAGGACAACAUAGGUUUCCUCAUUUCUUAUAGCUCACGGUUCUAUGACUGUUCUUUUGAAACUCUGACUUUAGAAUUAACAGCUCUUUAACUACACAUACCUCUGUCUGCAUGAUUAACUAUAUCAGGAAACAAAAUCAUUUAUUUUUUUUAAAGUUAUUUAAAAAGUUUUCCAUAAUUGAUAUGCUCUGGAGAAAAACCUCAUUGACCUGGGAUCCAAUCACUUUGAUUUGCCCUUCUCUUACUUAGACACUUUCUUGGCUUAUAAGCGUAGUAUAAAUUGCUCUUAGACCUUAUCACAAAGAUAAAAUUACAUGAUUCUCAAAGCUGAUAACUUUUACCCAUUUUCUUUGGACUCCUGGAAGCACAGAACUUAUCAAUAGCCCAUCUCUAACAACUAGAGCAAGCCAUUUAACAGGAUUCUUUUGUACUAACCUUUAGCUUUAAGCCAUUUUUCUUCCCUGAAUUCUUCUUAUCAAUUUCUUCAUUUAUUUUAUUUUGCUGUGGAUAUCUUAUUGGAACAAAUUCUUUAAAAGAUUAAUAUUGAAAUAGAUUGUGAUAAACAUUUCCUCAUCAUUUAAAAACAGGGCUAUCUUCCUUGCAGGGUUUAUAAACUAUAUGUUAAUACUUGGUGGGAACCAUGAGAAAAUAGAGGAAUGGCAAAAUAAAUUUUAUUACAUAAUAAAUAAUCCAAAAAUUUCAUCCAUAGAAUAAGAUGGAAGAUGGGAAGAAAAGGUCUCCUUCCCAGUAAGUUCCCUAAUCCCACUCCCAGGAAGCAAUAACUGUUCAUUAUUUCUAAUUUAUCUUUCCAGAAUUUAUCUAUGUAUUUAAAAAAUGUAUGCAUACAAAUAUUUUAAUAACAUAAAUGGGAUCAUACCAUACCUACUGUAACAUGUUUUUUACAUUUAUGAACAUCUUUCCAAAUUCAGAUCUAUUCUCCUAUAUCACUUUUAAGAAAGUUACUUAAUCUUUUGUGGUAUAGAUAUAGUAUAAUGUAUUUAAGAAAUUCCCAUUCAUAGAUUCCAGGUGUUUAUUUUUCAAACAAUGUUGUAGUGAGUAUCACUGCACAUAACUUGCUAUUCCAAUUCUGCAGUUACAGAAUUCUGUAUUAAAAUUUGGUUUAUAGUGAGGUUCUGUAUUAAUAGCAUGAAGUAAAAUAAAGGAGGCUUUAGUCUGGAAAACACAAAUGGUAAACUUAUAAUCAGGGGGAAAAAUCCAUUUUUCUCUUCUUUUAACUUUUAUAUUUAAUAUAAGUAACAACAGUGACUCUCAAAUUAGAAAAGGUAAUAAUAAAAUAACACUUAAAAAAGAAGUCAAAUUUGUUCACUUUUUAUUGGUUCUAAUUUUACUUGGUGAAUUGGUGACAUUUUCAUAAGUGUCAGAAACUGGAUAUAAAGUACAAGGUUGAAAGCUAUGGUCAGGCUUUGUGGUUUAUAGGUUCUUGGCCCUUAUUCUUCAGACUGUUAACACUGAAACUGCAUGUCACCCUUUAGUUUGAUAAUAAACUUAGAUCAAUCUUGAUUUCAAGUUUCUGUAUGGAGUUUAUAAGUAUAAUAAUUGAAAAACAGAACAGAAUCACUCCAGUAAUUUAGUUAAGCCUUCUUAAGUGAUAGACAGGACUUUAUAUUGCUAGAUGGUUCUCUUAAGUUAACGCAUAAGAACUCUAGAGGUGUCAGUUCAAAGCAAACAAGAUGAUUUAAACCCCAACCUCUCCUUAGAGAAAGCCCUAAAGCUUCCAUUGGUAUAGUGCUGUGGUCUUUCAACUGGAGUCCUUUGCACAGGCAUGUGAAUCAAUUACCUGACCCCCAAUAUAAUCUUUCCUAAAACUGAUCUGCCUUAGAAUGAGUCAUCUUUCAGGUACUGUUUCUCACCAAACACUUCCCUCUCUCCCCUUUCUUAGUCACAUAGUUUUUAGUUUACCAAAGAAAGUUAUUUACCUCUCACCUCUUGCUAUGGUGCAUUGCCCUAAAUUAUAAAAAACCAGUGGAAUGCCAAAAAACAAAAACAAAAGGCAAUGUAGAAUUUUGGUAUUUUUAUUGGUCAAGUGAUUUCCAAUUAUUUGAAGAAAACUGAAGGAAGCAUAUCAGAAUUGUCAACUUAGAUUUAUUAGAAAUAAUUUAGAUCCCCACUGGUUUAUUUAUUAUUUAUUUAUUUUAAGAUUUCAUUUAUUUAUUUGUCAGAGAGAGAGAGAAAGCAUGAGAGAACACAAGCAAGGGGAGCUGCAGGCAGAGGGAGAAGCGGGCUCCCUGCUGAGCAAGAAGCCCGAUGUGGAUCCCAGGAUCCCAGGACCCUGAGAUCAUGACUUGAGCUGAACAUUAGAUGCCUAACCUACUGAAUCACCCAGGUGUCCCCCCACUGGUUUAUUUUUGAUAACAUUAAAACUACAAAAAAAAAAAAAAACAGGAAUAGAAUU
Molecule: long non-coding RNA, 8553 nt
Organism: Mirounga angustirostris (Northern elephant seal)
Lineage: Eukaryota; Metazoa; Chordata; Mammalia; Carnivora; Phocidae
Exons: 3
Source: RefSeq, a predicted model, not a curated record